RNAcentral lists this long non-coding RNA (611 nucleotides) under Linum usitatissimum (flax). Its description in RNAcentral is "long non-coding RNA (LUSI_LNC001915)". The record is from RNAcentral. Lineage: Eukaryota; Viridiplantae; Streptophyta; Magnoliopsida; Malpighiales; Linaceae.
UCUGGAUGUUGCAGUGGUUGGUAAUGUGAGGGCACCCGUGGCUACCGGGACUAGAACAGUUCCCACCAUUGAACAUGAGUUCAUACCUCAUAAUCCUUCUUGACAAUACCAAGGGAAGGGAAGGGAAGACAACUGUUUAUUUUUAGCUUAUUUUUUCUUUUGUGUUAAUUUGUGCAUCCAAUUCUUCCUUUACUUUGUUUCCCCCUCCUUGAGAUCAUUUAUCUGUUUGAUCAUAUUCUUUUGUAACAUUGGAUGAACAGAACAGAGAAGGCAUUGAUAAUCUCUCUCCACAUGGGCCGAUUUCACUUCACCAUCUCUCAUUCUUCUAUGCUUUGUUGGGAUCAUAUAAUUAAUGAGUGAACAUUGCGGACAUCUUCCUUGGGAUUUAAAUAUAACAAAGUGGAAUGAAUGUAGUGUGCUCCAGCAAAGAUGUCUCCGGGAAUUAUGAUAGAGUCAUGGGUUUUGGAGGAGACACAACAUUUGGUGGAAAACUAGGUGAAAUUGUUCCAUUUGGUAGAAGCUGGAAACUAAUGAAUAAAUCCUGGCCGCCGAAGGAUUGGAAGCAGGGGCAAGUUCAGGAGAAUUCUCCACAAAUUCUUUAUUUGUUUGUA